ACUCUUGCCGAGCUUGUCCUUCUUGCUGCUGUGCUUCCCGCGCAAGCCGAGCAGGCCGUGGCGCUGCUUGCCGCCGUCGAAGCAGCAGCAAGACCGGUGUAUGACUUUUCUGGCCGAUUGCUCAUGAUAUGUUCAUACUUCUUUAUUCUAAUUCCAAUGUUAAUAAUUCUCUAACCAAUUAUGCAACCUUUAUUUUUUAUUUCUUUUAGAAAAAAGACAAGCUAGCAACCUUUCUUUUACUAAUCCAAUGAUGCCUGUUUUCAUGGAAAACAAUCAAAUGAGUGACCCACGCCGCAACUUCUACAAACUAGCAAGCUACACCCUGUUCCUAUUCUGCAUUAUUAUGCCGUGGACUAAAAGACAAGAUCAUAUAGAGUGGAAUACAAAAGACAAACUACCUGGAUUAAUGUAGUGAGUGAACUAUACGGUAGAAUUAAAGCUUGGAAUAGGGGUGGAGUAUAAGUUAGUGUGGGUUUGGUGCACACAUGGUGCACAUGCACACACACAUUUUAAGUUUUAGAAUCAUAAAUAAACCAUGAGCAUACAUAUUCUUACUACUAUCAGUUUCAAAGAAAUUCCAGAGUCCAACUUGCUAGUUUGAUAUUGCGAUGAGGAGGUAAAGUGCCGAAAUUGAAUCAAUUAGAGGAAUGAGCCUGGAACAUGUUAGUGUGAUAUUGAGAAUGUUGAGGUCUAUUGCCUGUUAGAAAAUAAUGCAUAAUCCAACUCUCUUUCACUCCCGAAAUAUGCAAUUUUCUAAGUCCAUUGUUCAUCUAACUUGUAGGCUGAGCACAUCAUGGAGAUAUCUCCUGUGGCUACCCCUCUAGAAACUGAGGAAGCGCUCUCUAGUGGUUCUCCAUCAGCAAGGACUCAAUUAGUGACUUUCGGAGCAGGCUAACCACGGACACAAUUGAGGCACUUAUUUGCCUCCAAGACUGGCUGCGAGCAGCAACUCCUUCUUCUGAGACGAUUCUGGUUCAAGUUGUGGCACCACCGGUUUACAAAUCUUCAACCAUUGCCAAUCCUGUGAGUGAUGUUACAACAGAUCUCAUAGAAGAUGAUUUUGAAGAGGAUGCUUACUUUGUUUAAGUUGGCAUUUGUUUGAAAUUCACACUAUUCAUGUAUAUAUGAUACGAGCGUCAAAAGCUAGCAAUGGAGCAUUGGUUGCCAUUAGCAUCACAAGGGAACAUGUCGUCAGAGCAUAUUGGUUGCAGCUACCUGUGUAGAUGAAAGAUUCUCUAGUUCUUGGUAUUAAUGUA
This is a long non-coding RNA of Panicum virgatum (switchgrass), 1256 nucleotides long. RefSeq lists it as uncharacterized. The record is from RefSeq and is a predicted model, not a curated record. Lineage: Eukaryota; Viridiplantae; Streptophyta; Magnoliopsida; Poales; Poaceae. The transcript has 3 exons.